UUUUUUUAACUUUUGACC
This 18-nucleotide ribosomal RNA is filed under the name Paradendryphiella arenariae. RNAcentral describes it as "partial 26S ribosomal RNA". The record is from RNAcentral. Lineage: Eukaryota; Fungi; Ascomycota; Dothideomycetes; Pleosporales; Pleosporaceae.